UUUUUGAUGCUAUUGUAAAUAGUUAUUUUAAUUCAUUUUUGGAUUAUUAAUUGCUAAUAUAAAGAAGUACAACUGAUUUUUAUAUUGGUCUUGUAUCCUGCAAUGUUUCCGAACUCACUUAUUUUUUUAAAGAUUUUAUUUAUUUAUUCAUGAGAGACAGCGAGAGAGCGCGAGAAAGAGGCAGAGACACAGGCAGGGGGAGAAGCAGGCUCCAUGCAGGGAUCCUGAUGUGGGACUCGAUCCGAGAACUCCAGGAUUACACCCUGGGCAGAAGGCAGGCACUAAACCGCGGAGCCAUCCAGGGAUCCCCUGAACUCACUUAUUAGUUCCAAAAGUUUUGUGUGUGUAGAUUCCUUAGGAAAUUAUAUAGAAAAUUAGGUCUUCUGAAAGUAAAUAUAGUUUUACUCCUUUCCUUCUGACCUGGAUAUUCUUGUUUGUUUCAGGUUUAAUAAGAUGGAACUGACAAAUCAAAAUUGUAUAUAUUUAAGGUAUACACUUUUGUGGUUUUUUUUUUAAAGAUUUUAUUUAUUCACGAGAGACACACAGAGAGAGGCAGAGGGAGAGGGAAGAGCAGGCUCCCUGUGGGGAGCGUGAUGCAGGACUUGAUCCCAGGACCCCGGGAUCACGACCUGAGCCAAAGGCAGAAGCUCAACCACUGAGCCACCCAGGCGUCCUGUGAUGUUUUGAUAAAUGUAUACAUUGUGAAAUGACCACCACAAUCAAGUAAAUCACCAUAGCCAUCAUCUAAUAUAAUUACCUUUUUGUGGGUGUGGUGAGAACACCUCUUAGUAAAUCUCAAGUUUUCAAUACAAUAUUUCUAACUAGUCAUUAUGCUAUACAUUAGAUCUCUAGGACUUCCUAUCAUGCAUAACUGAAACUUUGUACUCUUUUCCCAUUUCCCCCUCAUCCUAGCCGCUGGCAACAACCUUUCUAUUCUUUGCUAUGAAUUUGACUGUUUUAGAUUCCAUAUUGCAUUAGUCAGGGUUCUCCAGAGAAACAGAACCAAUAGGAUGGAUGAAUUGAUAUAGAGCUACAGAUACAGAUACAGCCAUAUAGCUAUGAGGACUGUUAUAAAUUAGCUCAUGUGAUUAUGGAGGCCAGGAAAUCCCAAGAUCUGCCGUUUUUAAGCUGGAGAACACGGAAAGCUGGUGAUGUAAUUCAGUCUGAAUCCAGAGGCCUGAAAAUGAGAGAUCAAUGGUGUAAGUUCCAGUCUGUGUCUAAAGGCACAAGAGCCGGGAUCCCUGGGUGGCACAGCAGUUUGGUGCCUGCCUUUGGCCCAGGGCGUGAUCCUGGAGACCCGGGAUCGAGUCCCACAUCGGGCUCCCAGUGCAUGGAGUCUGCCUGUGUCUCUGCCUCUCUCUCUCUCUCUCUCUCUCUCUCUAUCAUAAAUAAAUAAAAAUUAAAAAAAAAAAAUAAAGGCCCAAGAGCCAGGAGUACCAACCUACAAGGUCAGGAGAAGAUGGAUAGUCCAACUGAAGCAAAGAGUAAAUUUGCCCUUCCUCUGUUUGUUCUAUUUAGGCCCUCAAUGGAUUGGAUGAUGCCCACCCAUAUUGGUGAGGCUGGUCUUUAUUCAGUCUACUAAUUCAAAUGCUAAUUACUCUGGAAACAUCUUCAUAGACACAUCCAGAAAUAAUGUUUUACCAACUAUCUGAGCAUCCUGUAGCCUAGUCAUGGUGAUAUGUAAAACUAACCAACAUAAGUCCGUGACUUGUCAACUUGGCACCAUAUAUAUAUCUCCUUAAACCAUACUUAUCUCCAAAUAAAAACAAUAACAAGGUCAUAAUUCUACCUAACAUGAUACAGCUCUCCUGCAUGUAACUGAAAAUGUAUUAAUCCUUUCUCCAGAAGAUGAGGUAGAGUCCUUGAGCAGUGUUUACUCUUCUGUAACUUAAAUAAAAUUAGCAAAAUUAACAACACUUAAGAACGGAUAUAAAGUCAAUUCAUGAUAAGGGAAUAAGAAACAAAGAUAUUUAUGUAAUUUAUGUGUAUAUAUGACAAACCUAUUUGUAACAAAAUGAGGAAGUAUUGAUGAUCAUUACAGUUCUCAUUUCUGUAACUAGUCAUGGUUGUAGGUGGGAUUUAUAACUACCUUCUUCUAAUACACAUUCUGUAUUCCCUUUGCCUUCAGUGAACACCUACCUCAGCUGGCCAUUUUUCUUUAGCUGGCAGGGUAACCCUAACUUUCAUUUCUGAAUGGUGUGGGCCAUUAGUAGUCCUGCCUGGAUUGGUUUGUGGUUUUCCACUGAUUGUGAUCACAAGGCAUGGUAAUACUGAGAAACAUCCUAAAAGACUAUUCCAGGCAUACUUCUCCUAAGUUCCACUGUGUAGUAGUAAUCCAAUUUCCCCUUGAUAGUCAGGAACAAUCAUCCCAGGCAAUGCCACAACUCUUUUCUUUGCCUGUUGAUUUAGAGGCAUGAGGAGGCCAAAGUGGCCCAAUGGCAGUCUUAACUUCCAGCUCAAUGGAAUCAUUGUUGUGUGUCCCAGUAGAAACUUUCCUCCCCCUGGCCUCUAGGCCAGCAGAACAUUAUGAGAACAGGAAGCAAAAAUUUAUGGGUCAUUAUGAUAAUAGUGAGUGGUGAGCUUUCAUUUCCACCUCUUGAUUCCUGGACCUGUGAAUCCUAGCUGUUGGAAAAACAGCACCACAUAUUGGACAUUUAUUCAGAGCAUAUACAAUUUUCUGGAAGGGCUAGCAAAGUACUGCCACCUAGCUGGUACUAUAACUCUUAAAAAGGUCAUUCCACUGUUAAAUGAAGCAAGCUGCUUCAGGAUAGGGAAUAUAGUAAGACCAGUGAAUUCCAUGACCAUGAGCCCACUGUCAUACUUCCUUUGCUGUGAAGUGAGUUCCCUGAUCUGCAGGCAAUGCUCUGUGAAAUACCAUGAUGGUGAAUAAGGCAUUCUUUAAGUCCACAGAUGGUAGUUUUGGAGGAAGCAUUGCAUGCAUGGUAGGCAAAUCUGUAACUAUAUCUAGUAUGUCUAUCCCAGUAAGGACAAAUGCUGCCCCUCCCUCGAGAUGGGAGCAAUCUAAUGUAAUCAACCUGCCACCAGGUAGCUGCUGGUAUAAUCAGCCAUAUAGUACCAUAUAGGAACAGUACUAUAUAAGGCGCUCAGUUUUGGUCUCUACUGUUGGCAGACUGCACACUCAGUGUUGGCCAUAGCCAUGCUGGGCUUGGUAAAUGGCAGUCCAUGUUGCUAAGCCUAUGUAUAAACCAACAUCCUAACACUAUGGCCACUUUGUUCAUGAGUUGACUGGGCAAUGACAGAAGUGGCUGGAAAAAGAGGUGAAUGGUAUCCACAGAAUGGGCCAUCCUACCCACUUGAUCAUUAAAAUAUUCCUCUGGUGAGGAAACCAAAUCUUUGGUGAAGAUUCACACAGGAUAUAAAUAUCUUCACAUCUUUUUCCCAGAGAGGUCUAUCCACAUACCUCUUCCCUAAAUUUGUUUGUCACCAAUUUUUUAAUCAUGUUCCUUUCAAAGUUCGUGACCAUUGGCUGCAGCCCAUGAACUGGUAUAUAAUCACACAUCUGGUCAUUUUUCUUUCCAAGAUAAGUUGAAUAAUCAGAGGUACUACCUGAAGUUCUGCCCACUAGACGGAUUUCCCUUUACCACUGUCCUUCAGGGAUGUCCCAGAGAGAAGCCACAGUGCUGUAGCUGUCCCCUUUUGAGUGGUACCUGGCAUAUCAUGUAGAACCAUCUAUAAACCAGGGCCUAGUCUUCUCUUCCUGCCAGUUGAUUAUAGCAAUCAAUACAGGCUGGGAGAGAAAUGGCAGCAUAGCAGGAGUGGGGUCCAUGGGCAUUUGGGCUACUUCGUCAUGUAGUCUGUGUCUUUAGAGCCUGUUUGGGCCUGAUCACAUAUAUAUCACUUCCAUUUGAUGAUGGAGUAUUGUUUUGCAUGCCCAACUUUGAGGCUUGCUGGGUCAGACAACACUCAGUUCAUGAAAGGUAGCUCAGGUCAUAUGGUAACUUGGUGGUCCCUGGUCAAGUGUUCAGUCUCAGGCCCAGUAGCAGGCCAAGAGCAGUUUCUCAAAAGGAUAGUAUUUAUCUCCAGAUGUUGGCAGGGUCUUCCUCCAAAAUCUGAAGGACUAUGCUGCAAUUCACCUAUAGAAGUCUACCAAUGGUUUCAAAUACCAUCUCUGUCACUAACACUUCAAGCACCACUGAUCUUCUGGAUCAUAUGGCCCAAGUGCAAUACACCUUGCUCAGGAGCCUGAACUAUUGCAGAGCCUUCUCUUGUUCUGGAUUUCAGUCAAACCUAGCAACUUUCCAGGCCACUCAGUAAAUGGACUGGAGUAACACAACCGAAUGAAAAACAUGUUCCUUCCAAAAUCCAGAGCCCCACUACGUACCGUGCCUCUUUCUUGAUCAUAAAAGGGACCAAAUAUAAUUUAUCCUUCACCUGAGAUGUCUCAAUGUUGAUGCUCCACACCACUGGAUCCCUAGAAAUUUCAGAGAGAAGAUCCCCGAAUUUUAGUUGAAUUUAUUUCCCACCCUCUGGCAUACAACUAUAUCACUAGUAAGUCUAGACUAGUUGCUAAUUCUCACUCACUAGGUCCAAUUAGCAUAAUGUCAUCAAUACAAGAGAACAGCAUGACAUCUUGUGGAAGGUAAAGGCAAUCACAAUCCCUGUAAACUAAAUGACAUAGAGCUUGAUGGUUGAUGUACCCCUGAAGUACAACAGUGAAAGUAUACUGCUGGCCUUGCCAACUGAAAGCAGACUGCUUCUGGUGGGCCUUAUGGACAGGGAUAGAGAAAAAAAUGCAUCUCCCAAAUCAAUAGCUGCAUACUAUGUGCCAUGUAAUCUGUUCAUUUGCUCAAGCAAUGAAAACACAUCUGGUACAGCACCUGCAACUGCAAUCACUACCUAGUUAGGCUUAAAAUAACCCAUUAUCAUUCUCCAUCUGUCUUCUGCAUAGGUCAAAUAGAAGAGUUGAAGGGGGAUGUGGUAGAAAUCACCACUCCUGCAUCUUUCACCUCCUCAAUGGUGGCACUAGUCUCUACAAUCCCUCCAGUAAUGUGGACUUUUAAAAAAUUAUUAUUGAAGUAUUUUUGAUUUAUUAUUUUCCCAGGUAGAGGCAGUUCUAAUAGCUUCUAUUUGGCCUUUCCCACCAUAAUAGCCCUCACUCCACAGAUCAGGAAACCAAUAUGGGGAGUCUGCCAGCUGUUAUGUGUGUCUAUUCCAGCUAUACAGUCUGGAACUGAGGAAAUAAUCACAGAAUGGGUUUGGGGACCCACUGGACUCACUGUGAGACAGACCUGAGGUAAAACCCCAUUGAUCACCUGACAUCUAUAGGCCCACACUCUGAUUGCAGGGCCACAGAGAUGUUUCAAGUCUCCUAAAAUCAGUGUCAGUUCAAAGUCAGUGCCUAGUAGUCCCUGAAAGGUCUGAUUAUUUCCUCUUGUUCAAUGUAGUUACCUCAUGUUGGUCCUAUAGAGUAACAGUAUAAAAUUUCAAUGUACUGAGGUCCUUCCUCAAGGGAACUGGCCUCCCCUUCAUUCAAAGGGUUCUGGGCUUGCCAACUGCCUCAAGUGUGGGAAUUGAGAAGUUGUGACUCUUGAUUUUUAGGAUAUGAGUUAGAAUUUUGUUUAUGUGACCUAUAACUUUUCUGUUUAUACAAACCAAGUAAGACUCUAGUAGGCUUCCUAUUUAUUUCACUUUUUAGAACACAAUAACUAGUCAGUGCCAUAAGUCUGCAUGAAUCAUAAAAAUCUGCUGUUUGACUCUACUGUCCAUUACAAUAACCACACCCACCUUCCCUUUGGGGUUUGAGAGCCACUACUUGGCCCCUGCCAUCCCAGGAUCCAAUUACUCCCAUUGCAUUUAGGUUUUCCAACUGAGUGUCUGUAAUUCCCACUGUAAGUUCUGGCCUACAGAGAAGAGCAAUCACAGAGCUCUUUAAGGAUACUAGGGCUCCAUCAUAUCCUUCAACAGAUAAAUGGAUAAAGAAGAUGUGGUGUGUGUAUAUAUAUAUACACACACACACAUACAUACACACACAAUAGAAUAUUACUCAGCCAUCAGAAAGGAUGAAUACCUACCAUUUGCUUCCACAUGAAUAGAACUGGAGGGUAUUAUGCUCAGUGAAAUAAGUUAAUCGGAGAAAGAAAAUCAUCAUAUGGUUUCACUCAUAUAUGGAAUAUAUGAAAUAGUGAAAGGGACUAUAAGGGAAAGGAGGGAAACUGAGUGGGGAAAAAUUAGAGAGGAAGACAAACCAUGAGAGACUCCUAACUCUGGGAAACAAAGAGUUGCAGAAGGGGAAGAAGGUGAAAGGAUGGGGUAACGGGGUCAUGGGCACUAAGGAGGGCACUUGAUGGGAUGAGCACUGAAUGUUAUACUAUAUGUUGGCAAACUAAAUUUAAUAAAAUAUAUUUUUAAAGAUUUUAUUUAUUU
RNAcentral lists this long non-coding RNA (6384 nucleotides) under Canis lupus familiaris (dog). RNAcentral describes it as "lncRNA (ENSCAFG00845016329.1)". The record is from RNAcentral. Lineage: Eukaryota; Metazoa; Chordata; Mammalia; Carnivora; Canidae.